GACGAACGCUGGCGGCGUGCUUAACACAUGCAAGUCGAACGGUGAAAGAGGAGCUUGCACCUCUGGAUCAGUGGCGAACGGGUGAGUAACACGUGAGCAAUCUGCCCCGAACUCUGGGAUAAGCGCUGGAGACGGCGUCUAAUACCGGAUACGACGCGCGAGGGCAUCCUCUGCGCGCGGAAAGAACUUCGGUUCGGGAUGAGCUCGCGGCCUAUCAGCUUGUUGGUGAGGUAACGGCUCACCAAGGCGACGACGGGGUAGCCGGCCUGAGAGGGUGACCGGCACACUGGGACUGAGACACGGCCCAGACUCCUACGGGAGGCAGCA
This 327-nucleotide ribosomal RNA is filed under the name uncultured bacterium. RNAcentral's name for it is "bacterial SSU rRNA". It matches the Rfam family "Bacterial small subunit ribosomal RNA", at positions 28 to 353 of the family's 1533-position model. The record is from RNAcentral.